This 413-nucleotide small RNA is filed under the name Punica granatum (pomegranate). Its description in RNAcentral is "5' ureB small RNA". It matches the Rfam family "5' ureB small RNA". Lineage: Eukaryota; Viridiplantae; Streptophyta; Magnoliopsida; Myrtales; Lythraceae. The record is from Rfam by way of RNAcentral.
AUAUGCCAGUUGAGGGCAUAUGAAAUGUACGUGACAGUCUAUCCCUCCUGCAGUUACAAUCAUCCCUUCUCCAGCAAUAACCUCGGUGUUAGCCUUAAUCAUAUAUGGGCAAAAGAAAAUUCAGUGUCGGCCUCAUACUAAAGACAAACAGGUUGAAAGAGUAGUAGCAGUCUUGCUAGACAUGCUUGUCUGCUCAUUCAUGAUCUUACCCCAACAGUCAUAUUAGGAGAGAUGCCAUCCAUGAUAUCUGGGUUUCCUGCCUUCCCAAGGGCAGUAAUACGACCGCCUUUAAUUCCAAUGUCUGACUUGAAUAUUCCAGUGUAGUCGAUGAUUACAGCAUUGGUUAUGACCGUAUCAAGAGCAUCAGCUGCUUGGUGCCCACAACACUGGUGUUGUCCCAUUCCAUCUCUUAU